UUCCGUAGGGGUGACCUGCGGAUGGAUCAUUAACGUCAUUGAAAAUAGCGGACGAAAGUCUGUUACUUUUUAAUAAUGUACACCCUUGUGGUGAAUAUAGGAAAUUUUAGUAAUAGUUAUUGGUAGGCAUGUCCUUUAGGAUGUGUAUGCCGAUGCUAUUAGUAUUAAAGACACUAUUAUAAUUUAAUUAACUAAAGUAACCUUGUGAAUUAAAUGUUUAUUAACAUAAAUAUUUUUAUUACCAAGUAAAACAACGAGUAAUCUUAUACAACUGCUAGCAACGGAUCACUCGGCUCUCGCGUCGAUGAAGAACGUAGCGAACUGCGAAAAUUAAUGCGACCCGCAACACGUGGGUCAUCGAGAUCUUUGAACGCAUAUUGCACCCGACAGGUUCACUUGUCGGGUCUGCCUGUCUGAGUAUCAAUACGGACCCAAUCAAUAAAUAAUAUUUGUUGUGUUGGUGCUCAUUAAUUUAUUAAUGGAUUUGAAUGUUCAAUUACCUUUUGUUAAUUGAUUAUUUGAAAUGUAUUGGUAUUAGUCAAUCAGUUGAUAAUUGCCAACAGCUAUUAAGCAUUGUUAAUCAUCUUUUAUUAGAUGUUCAUUGCUCUACAAGUCGUUGGAAUCACGAUUAUUAGCCGCUGUGUAAAAGCAGUGUAGUAUUGAAUAGACCAAAAGCACACUUGUUAUUACAUUUUUUGUAGUGCAAGAGUACACUUUUAACCAUCUUGAUCUCAGAUCAGGCAGGAUGACCCGCUGAACUUAAGCAUAUCAAAAGUCGGGAAGGA
This 785-nucleotide ribosomal RNA is filed under the name Syncephalis intermedia. RNAcentral's name for it is "eukaryotic LSU rRNA". The stretch from base 270 to 423 matches the Rfam family "5.8S ribosomal RNA". The record is from RNAcentral. Lineage: Eukaryota; Fungi; Zoopagomycota; Zoopagomycetes; Zoopagales; Piptocephalidaceae.